Molecule: ribosomal RNA, 510 nt
Filed under: uncultured bacterium
Lineage: Bacteria
Description: partial 16S ribosomal RNA
Rfam family: Bacterial small subunit ribosomal RNA
Source: RNAcentral
GACGAACGCUGGCGGCGUGCUUAACACAUGCAAGUCGAACGAAGAGCGAUGGAAGCUUGCUUCUAUCAAUCUUAGUGGCGAACGGGUGAGUAACGCGUAAUCAACCUGCCCUUCAGAGGGGGACAACAGUUGGAAACGACUGCUAAUACCGCAUACGAUCUAAUCUCGGCAUCGAGGAUGGAUGAAAGGUGGCCUCUACAUGUAAGCUAUCACUGAAGGAGGGGAUUGCGUCUGAUUAGCUAGUUGGAGGGGUAAUGGCCCACCAAGGCGAUGAUCAGUAGCCGGUCUGAGAGGAUGAACGGCCACAUUGGGACUGAGACACGGCCCAGACUCCUACGGGAGGCAGCAGUGGGGAAUCUUCCGCAAUGGACGAAAGUCUGACGGAGCAACGCCGCGUGAGUGAUGACGGCCUUCGGGUUGUAAAGCUCUGUUAAUCGGGACGAAAGGCCUUCUUGCGAAUAGUGAGAAGGAUUGACGGUACCGGAAUAGAAAGCCACGGCUAACUACGUG